AAGGAAAUAUCAGUUAUUGAAGAUGUUGAAUUGGUGAUGUACGGCGGGCGAGGGCUGCCCAACAGUGUCCAUGAUUUUACUCAUGAACUGUUCAACCAACGCUUUUCAAAUUUUAAUUUUUUGUUAUUGCUGACAAAAUGGAGGUCUAUUUCAAUAUUGACUAUUUUCACUUUCACAAUUCAUGGGGUAACAGUUUUUGAAAAAUUG
This 207-nucleotide long non-coding RNA is filed under the name Mytilus galloprovincialis (Mediterranean mussel). The record is from RNAcentral. Lineage: Eukaryota; Metazoa; Mollusca; Bivalvia; Mytilida; Mytilidae.